Molecule: long non-coding RNA, 257 nt
Filed under: Hordeum vulgare
Lineage: Eukaryota; Viridiplantae; Streptophyta; Magnoliopsida; Poales; Poaceae
Description: long non-coding RNA (HVUL_LNC011793)
Source: RNAcentral
ACCGAAGCAUCUCCAACAGACGCGCGCUAGUGCGGCGCCCAAUCCGCGCCGAUCCAGCGGUCCCAUCUGCAGCCGCUCAGAGUUUGGUGCGCGCGCAAGCCGGCGCACCAAAUAUGCUGCGCGCGAUAGCGUUUUUAAGCGCGCGCCCAGAAAUUUUUAGCGCGCACAGCGUUUUGCAGCUUCUGCUGGAGCAGCCCGGCGCCCAAAAAACGAAUAUUUUAGCGCGCGGAGCAGUUUUUAGGCGCCUGUUGAAGAUG